AGUAAAAUGGCCGAGGAUAGGCGAUAAAUUGUAAAUUUAUUUACGGGGUUUCUCUUUUACU
This 61-nucleotide transfer RNA is filed under the name Cryphalus piceae. Its description in RNAcentral is "tRNA-Tyr". The record is from RNAcentral. Lineage: Eukaryota; Metazoa; Arthropoda; Insecta; Coleoptera; Curculionidae.